GAUGAACGCUGGCGGCGUGCUUAACACAUGCCAGUCGAACGGAAAGGCCAGUGCUUGCCCUGGUACUCGAGUGGCGAACGGGUGAGUAACACGUGGGUGAUCUGCCCUGUACUUCGGGAUAAGCUUGGGAAACUGGGUCUAAUACCGGAUAGGACAACUUUUUGGAUAUUGUUGUGGAAAGCUUUUGCGGUAUGGGAUGAGCUCGCGGCCUAUCAGCUUGUUGGUGGGGUAAUGGCCUACCAAGGCGUCGACGGGUAGCCGGCCUGAGAGGGUGUACGGCCACAUUGGGACUGAGAUACGGCCCAGACUCCGACGGGAGGCAGCAGUGGGGAAUAUUGCACAAUGGGCGCAAGCCUGAUGCAGCGACGCCGCGUGGGGGAUGAAGGCCUUCGGGUUGUAAACUCCUUUCGCUAGGGACGAAGCGUUUUUGUGACGGUACCUGGAGAAGAAGCACCGGCUAACUACGUG
Molecule: ribosomal RNA, 468 nt
Filed under: uncultured bacterium
Lineage: Bacteria
Description: partial 16S ribosomal RNA
Rfam family: Bacterial small subunit ribosomal RNA
Source: RNAcentral